This 179-nucleotide unclassified non-coding RNA is filed under the name uncultured Inocybe. RNAcentral describes it as "sequence contains ITS2". The record is from RNAcentral. Lineage: Eukaryota; Fungi; Basidiomycota; Agaricomycetes; Agaricales; Cortinariaceae.
AGUUCUCAACCAUACCUCGGUGUGGCUUGGAUCUGGGGGUUCUGCAGGCUUCAAAGAAGGUCGGCUCCCCUGAAAAGCAUUAGCGGUGUCCGAGUACCUUUGGUGUGAUAACUAUCUAUGCCUUGGUGUAUGCGAUGCAUGCUGCUUCUGAACUUGCGUCUUGCGCAUUUUAUUGACAA